This 628-nucleotide unclassified non-coding RNA is filed under the name Hevea brasiliensis (rubber tree). Lineage: Eukaryota; Viridiplantae; Streptophyta; Magnoliopsida; Malpighiales; Euphorbiaceae. The record is from RNAcentral.
CAAGCCUUAAUCCCAAUUACUUGGGAUCAGCUACAUGAAUGCUAUGAAAGUUUCGGUACAAAACAAACAGCUCAAUAUAUCAAACUGAAAGUUUCGGUACAUACACUGCAGUGAAAAAAUCAGAAGAAUGCAAGCUUAGUAAUGCAAAAACCUUACAAUUCACCUUGCUGAAGCACGAUACUUCAGACUGCCUUUCGAUUCACUUUGAGAUAAGGUAGCGCACCAAUCACAUUAUCAUAAUCGCUUUUGUUCACCGGAUGCAUUUUAGACAACCGGAGCUUCCUCUUGGUAUUCUUCUUCCCUAGCAAGUGCUGCUUCCCCGCACGCCGCCGCACGAUCUUCCCCGUUCCCGUCACCCGGAACCGCUUCGCCGAUGCCUUGUGGGUCUUCAUCUUGUAGCCUUUAUGGGCGAAUACGGUGAAGGUGGUAGGGUUUCUGGACGGGGAAGGGACGAUGGAGGGGGGGUUGCGGAGGAUUAGAUGGGAGGCAGAGAGGGAGGCCGAGGAGCUGAGGUUGGUCUUGAAUGAGACGGAGGGAAGAUGGGUGGUGGAGAAGCAGCGGAGGGGAGGGGCAGAGGAGAGGGGGACGGUGAGGAAGCAGAGAAACGAGGCAGCCAUUGAUGGGUUCU